GUGCCAGCCGCCGCGGUAAUACGGAGGGGGCGAGCGUUGUUCGGAAUUACUGGGUGUAAAGGGUGCGUAGGCGGUCCGUUAAGUCUGAUGUGAAAGCCCUGGGCUCAACUCAGGAAUGGCAUUGGAAACUGGCGGGCUAGAAUACCGGAGAGGGAAGCGGAAUUCCUGGUGUAGCGGUGAAAUGCGUAGAUACCAGGAGGAACACCGGUGGCGAAGGCGGCUUCCUGGACGGAUUAUUGACGCUGAGGCACGAAAGCGUGGGGAGCAAACGGGAUUAGAUACCCUAGUAGUCC
RNAcentral lists this ribosomal RNA (293 nucleotides) under uncultured bacterium. Its description in RNAcentral is "partial 16S ribosomal RNA". It matches the Rfam family "Bacterial small subunit ribosomal RNA", at positions 505 to 796 of the family's 1533-position model. The record is from RNAcentral.